CUGCAUCUCCUGUAGCAUUUUCAUGAGUCUUUGAUAGUUGAAAAAUGAAGUUUUGUGUCAUGCAACUUUGACAUGAAUAACAGAGUUAGAAUUUUACAAGAGAUGGGAAAAGGAAAAACCAACCAGACUGCUUAUGUGUAGAAUGGCGACAUUUUGAAAUUGAUGGAAUUAGGUCAUGGCAUCAAGUACAAUUCAAGGUGUUGUAAGGCAUUUGGAGUGGCCAACUCUGCUCAUGUGUCAGUAUCUGAGGCUACCAUGAGUCUUGGAGCAGAACAGCCGUCACUGGUACAACACCUUUCUUCUUUCUGAAGACUCCACUCUCCUUGCACAGAUUCUGUGACUGAAUCACCUGUGCAAUGUCAGCUGAGACAUAAAACCUGCCUCACACAUGUGCAGGAAGCCGGACACCUGCAGUUUGAGAACUCCAUUUGGAAGCCUGA
Molecule: long non-coding RNA, 440 nt
Filed under: Cricetulus griseus (Chinese hamster)
Lineage: Eukaryota; Metazoa; Chordata; Mammalia; Rodentia; Cricetidae
Description: lncRNA (ENSCGRG00000024187.1)
Source: RNAcentral